CUGAGACAGACAAUAUUCUGUUACAUUGUAGCAAAAUGGCGACUGUCAUUCACAACCCCCUGAAAGCGCUUGGGGACCAGUUCUACAAGGAAGCCAUUGAGCACUGCCGCAGUUAUAACUCGCGGCUGUGUGCAGAGCGCAGCGUGCGGCUCCCCUUCCUGGACUCACAGACAGGGGUGGCCCAGAACAACUGCUACAUCUGGAUGGAGAAGAGGCACCGAGGCCCAGGCCUCGCCCCGGGCCAGCUGUACACGUAUCCUGCCCGCUGCUGGCGUAAGAAGAGACGAUUGCACCCACCUGAGGAUCCAAAGCUGCGGCUGCUGGAAAUAAAACCCGAAGUGGAGCUGCCCCUGAAGAAGGAUGGGUUCACCUCCGAGAGCACCACAUUGGAAGCCUUGCUCCGCGGUGAGGGGGUCGAGAAGAAGGUGGACGCCAGAGAGGAGGAAAGCAUCCAGGAAAUACAGAGGGUUUUGGAAAAUGAUGAAAAUGUAGAAGAAGGCAAUGAAGAAGAGGAUUUAGAAGAGGAUAUUCCCAAGAGAAAGAACAGGACCAGAGGACGGGCCCGUGGCUCUGCAGGUGGCAGGAGAAGGCACGACCCCGCCUCUCAGGAAGACCACGACAAACCUUACGUCUGUGACAUUUGCGGCAAGCGCUACAAGAACCGGCCAGGACUCAGCUACCACUACGCUCACACUCACCUGGCCAGUGAGGAGGGGGAUGAAGCCCAAGACCAGGAGACCCGGUCCCCACCCAACCACAGAAACGAAAAUCACAGACCCCAGAAAGGACCGGAUGGGACAGUCAUUCCCAAUAACUACUGCGACUUCUGCUUGGGGGGCUCUAACAUGAAUAAGAAGAGUGGGCGGCCUGAAGAGCUCGUGUCCUGUGCAGACUGUGGACGCUCUGCUCAUUUGGGAGGAGAAGGCAGGAAGGAGAAGGAGGCAGCGGCCGCAGCACGCACCACGGAGGACUUAUUCGGUUCCACGUCAGAAAGUGACACCUCAACUUUCCACGGCUUUGACGAGGACGAUUUGGAAGAGCCUCGCUCCUGCCGAGGACGCCGCAGUGGCCGGGGUUCGCCCACAGCAGAUAAAAAGGGCAGUUGCUAAACACACGAACAGACUCUCUGGGCAAUUAGCCAUCACCCUCUGACUUUGGUCAUUGUUCUGGUUCUGAUAUAUUUUUUUUUAAUGAAAGACAACUUUAGGUGUUCCCUUCAUCCUUGCUUUUUCCUCUUACCUUCCACGCGUCCCUUCCCCCUUUCCCUCUAUUUUGCAUAUGUACAGCAGAAGCACAAACUACUGAAACAAAACAGAACAAAAGAGCAGAAUAACAGUCCUUCAGAGAGAUGGCAUCAUGAUGUACUAUUUAUUUUCCAUAGAAGUGGGAAGUUAGGUGAAUUAUCUCUUUUUGGGGGGCUUGGGAUCUUUUUGACAUGAGUAGAAUUGAUUUCCUCAGUUUUCCUAUUUAUUGGCAAAAUGAAGAGAGGAGGAAUAUUGGGUUUGGAAACAGAACCAAUAACAUUAAAUAAAUUAUUAUUUAUAUAUUCUAACUAUUAUUAGAAACUUUUUUUUUUUUUUGAGAGAGAGAGAGAGAGAGAGAGAGAGAGAGAUUGAGAGAGAGAGAGGAGAGUGAAAGGAAAUCAAAGAAACUGAAGUAAUAUCCUGUUUAGAAGAAAGCCACUGGGGGAGAAUUGAUUCGAGGAGACCUAGUCAGGAGGAUUUCCUCGAUGGGCGAUGAUUGCACUGUCUGUACUCCACUGAGUUUGGGGCUCCCCAUGGCAGACCCCUUCCCCAGUUCUCCUCCCUGACCUUUCCAUCCUCCUCCCUGCUUGCGUGAACAUGUCAGCAGUUCCUCACAAGCCUGGGGCUGCUGUGGCCUCCCUCCAGGACCUGGGCCCUGAGCAGCACCACUUCCCGAGCUCCUCCUCUCCGUCAGCAUAGCUGCUGUUUUUGUGGUUUUUGGUGUUUUCCUCACUUUCCUCCUGGUGAAGAACAAUUCCAAACGCAGGAAUGGAAUAUAAGCAGAAAAGUCAUGGACUCAGCAGUGACAGAACCACCUGAGGCUGCACUCAUGGAAGAAAGAAGGAUACCUCACAGUAUAUUUCCCUCCCCCCUCGCCCCUGUUUACAAACAUAUAAAUUCCUGUUGGAUGAUCAAGUCUCCUGUAUUUCUUCUUCUAUUUUUUUAUAGUGCCCUCCAGGCACUUUGUUUUAUGUUUCCAAUAGCAUCUCCUGAAAUAAACCAAAGCAACACUUGCUCAAGGCCCCUGGGCGAUGGAGAAGACCGUCCACCUUGUUGGCAGUCCCGAGAACGGACAGCUGUGCAGUCCUAGGGAAAAGUCAACUAUGACCUGGGGACUCCAGCAUCCUUCAAGCAAGCCAUUUCCGAAGAAGGUGACAAGAAGCUGCGAUGAUUUGCACCUCCUCCUCCUCCUUCACCUUCUCCUCUUCCUCUUCCCUUGCCCGGCCCCCUCCUGCGCGUGUGUUUCAGCCAACACAGGAGCCUGGAUUGUGGAAAAGCCUCCAGCGCAACUCAGCUCAGCUCAGAGAAGUCUUGGGAAUGGCCUAAGUUUGUGCAAUAAGAAGAUUUUUUUUUUUAAUUUUUAAAUUCUUCAUUGCAUUUUCUUUAAAUGUCUGUGAGAAAAGUGCCCAGGUCAGACUGGAAUUGCUCUACAAUAGAAAUAACUGAAAACAAACUGACGAAAAAAAAAAGUUAACUGUUUUAUUUAUUUCAAUAUUUAAAAGAAAAAAGUGCUGAUGUGGCACAGUAUUUUUGUUUAAAGUACCUUCUACUUCAAAAGUUAAAAGCAAUUUUGUGAAGACACGAAGUCAAAAGAGUACUUAAUGUAAAAUAAAGACUGCAUAUUAACUAAGGAAAAAUACCCCACCUUUUUAAUAAGAAAAUAAAGAUCAACUCUGCUCUCUCAAAGGCUUUUUAAAAAGCCAUUCAUGUAUGUGCUUUAGGUAUUUUUAUUUCUGCGAGUUGGAUGUGGUAAGUGAGGAGUGAUCAGUUUUGUUUUUCCUUCUUCAAAAGUCUAUUGAAAGUGUUGGGAUGUUCCAGGAUUGUGUUAAGACUUGACUGAAAUAAAUUAGCCACAAAGGCUAUCGGCAGUCUCUCUAAGCCCCCCACCC
RNA transcript from Rhinolophus ferrumequinum (greater horseshoe bat), 3133 nucleotides. It is a transcript of the gene named double PHD fingers 3, with no coding region annotated. The record is from RefSeq and is a predicted model, not a curated record. The transcript is spliced from 10 exons. Lineage: Eukaryota; Metazoa; Chordata; Mammalia; Chiroptera; Rhinolophidae.